Molecule: unclassified non-coding RNA, 377 nt
Filed under: uncultured Actinomycetes bacterium
Lineage: Bacteria; Bacillati; Actinomycetota; Actinomycetes
Description: uncultured actinobacterium contains 16S-23S intergenic spacer region
Source: RNAcentral
UCCGGUUUGUCACCGGCAGUAUCCCUAGAGUCCCCGGCAUUAUCCGCUGGCAACAUAGAACGAGGGUUGCGCUCGUUGCGGGACUUAACCCAACAUCUCACGACACGAGCUGACGACAACCAUGCACCACCUGUAUACCGACCUUGCGGGGCAUCCAUCUCUGAAUGUUUCCGGUAUAUGUCAAACCCAGGUAAGGUUCUUCGCGUUGCAUCGAAUUAAUCCGCAUGCUCCGCCGCUUGUGCGGGCCCCCGUCAAUUCCUUUGAGUUUUAGCCUUGCGGCCGUACUCCCCAGGCGGGGCACUUAAUGCGUUAGCUACGGCACAGAUCACGUUGGUUGUGACCCACACCUAGUGCCCAACGUUUACGGCGUGGACUAC